This 826-nucleotide ribosomal RNA is filed under the name uncultured Bacillota bacterium. RNAcentral's name for it is "bacterial SSU rRNA". It matches the Rfam family "Bacterial small subunit ribosomal RNA", at positions 58 to 885 of the family's 1533-position model. Lineage: Bacteria; Bacillati; Bacillota. The record is from RNAcentral.
UACGCUUAUAGAGUUGAUUAGUUUACUAAGAGAUGAUUUAUUGUAAAUUUUAGUGGCGGACUGGUGAGUAAUACAUAGGUAAUCUGCCUUUUAGAGGGGAAUAACUAGGAGAAAUCCUAGCUAAUACCGCGUAAGACCACACUUAGGCAUCUAAGAGAGGUCAAAGGAGUAAUCCGCUAAAAGAUGAGCCUGUGGCUGAUUAGUUAGUUGGUGGGGUAAGAGCCUACCAAGACGAUGAUCAGUAGCCGAGCUGAGAGGCUGGCCGGCCACAUUGGGACUGAGAUACGGCCCAGACUCCUACGGGAGGCAGCAGUUGGGAAUAUUGGACAAUGGAGGAAACUCUGAUCCAGUGACGCCGCGUGAAGGAAGAAGGUCUUCGGAUUGUAAACUUAUUUUAUCAGGGAAGAAGAAAGUGACAGUACCUAAAGAAAAAGGACCGGCAAACUACGUGCCAGCAGCCGCGGUAAUACGUAGGGUCCAAGCGUUAUCCGGAUUUACUGGGUGUAAAGGGCGAGUAGACGGCGCUGUAAGUCAGCUGUGAAAACUUAGGGCUCAACCUUAAGCCUGCAGCUGAAACUGUAGUGCUAGAGUGCAGGAGAGGUAAGCGGAAUUCCUAGUGUAGCGGUGAAAUGCGUAGAUAUUAGGAGGAACACCAGUGGCGAAGGCGGCUUACUGGACUGUAACUGACGUUGAGGCGCGAAAGUGUGGGGAGCAAACAGGAUUAGAUACCCUGGUAGUCCACACCGUAAACGAUGGAUACUAGGUGUAGGCGAGAUAUCGUCUGUGCCGGCGCAAACGCAAUAAGUAUCCCACCCGGGGAGUAUGU